This is a non-coding RNA of Acanthosepion pharaonis, 111 nucleotides long. The record is from the annotation of a GenBank genome assembly. NCBI's taxonomy places the organism in Eukaryota, Metazoa, Mollusca, Cephalopoda, Sepiida, Sepiidae.
UUAUGGCCAUAUCACGGUGAAACAUCAGUCCCCGUGCGAACACCGGUGUUAAGCAACGUUGAGCCUGGUCAGUGCCUAGAUGGGUGACCUCUUUGUAUUACCAGGUGCUGU